GUGCUCGCUUCGGCAGCACAUAUACUAAAAUUGGAACGAUACAGAGAAGAUUAGCAUGGCCCCUGCGCAAGGAUAAUAGGGACAUUCUAAGGGAAAGCGCGACAUUCU
This is a non-coding RNA of Podarcis lilfordi (Lilford's wall lizard), 108 nucleotides long. NCBI's taxonomy places the organism in Eukaryota, Metazoa, Chordata, Lepidosauria, Squamata, Lacertidae. The record is from the annotation of a GenBank genome assembly.